RNAcentral lists this ribosomal RNA (500 nucleotides) under uncultured bacterium. RNAcentral describes it as "partial 16S ribosomal RNA". It matches the Rfam family "Bacterial small subunit ribosomal RNA", at positions 29 to 523 of the family's 1533-position model. The record is from RNAcentral.
AUUGAACGCUGGCGGCAUGCCUUACACAUGCAAGUCGAACGGCAGCGCGGGCUUCGGCCUGGCGGCGAGUGGCGGACGGGUGAGUAAUGCAUCGGAACGUGCCCAGGAGUGGGGGAUAACGUAGCGAAAGUUACGCUAAUACCGCAUACGUACUGAGGUAGAAAGCGGGGGAUCGAAAGACCUCGCGCUCAUGGAGCGGCCGAUGUCGGAUUAGCUAGUUGGUGAGGUAAAAGCUCACCAAGGCGACGAUCCGUAGCUGGUCUGAGAGGACGACCAGCCACACUGGGACUGAGACACGGCCCAGACUCCUACGGGAGGCAGCAGUGGGGAAUCUUGGACAAUGGGGGAAACCCUGAUCCAGCAAUGCCGCGUGUGGGAUGAAGGCCCUCGGGUUGUAAACCACUUUUGGCAGGAAAGAAAUCGCCUGUGCUAAUACCAUGGGCGGAUGACGGUACCUGCAGAAUAAGCACCGGCUAACUACGUGCCAGCCGCCGCGGUAA